UCGUGUGCAGCGCAAACGCGGCUCCCGCGGUGUGUCCCGCCUGCAGCGUGAGUUUGCACCACAUCAUUCGCUCACUCUGCCCACUGCUUCCUUUGUUUGUUGUUCCGGAUGGUUCUCCGAUACGGAUGCUGGCAGGCGAAACCACUGAGAGGUCCGUCUAUGCAAGCAUCUGGUUGGCUGCUCUGAUGACUUGCUUUUAUUGAUUCAGCCGUACUUUCAUCUCAGCCUGCGUCCGUCGGCGUUGAAAACAAGAUGACGAUGAAGAAAGAAGAAAGCAAGCACACCACCGCAUCUCCCUUCGAUGACGACGCUGAGUCCUUCAAGAACGAUGGCGAACCUUCAGUCUGUCGCUCCAGAUCUUGCCAUCUACGAUGAGAACUCCGACGCCGAGCACUACUGAUGCGCCAAGAAGCAGAAAUAUUCCUUCCUUAUUGUCCUACUUUUUUGCCUGCUUAUUUAGCUAGGACAACCGGAUAUGUAUCAUGUGAAGUCGACGUAAUCUACCUUUUGCUGUAUCCGUUUAGACUAGACUACCUGUGAGCUAACUUAAUCUGAAUUGUAUUGGUAUUGGUCCGAGAGGACGCCGGAA
Molecule: long non-coding RNA, 589 nt
Organism: Lolium rigidum
Lineage: Eukaryota; Viridiplantae; Streptophyta; Magnoliopsida; Poales; Poaceae
Exons: 2
Source: RefSeq, a predicted model, not a curated record